Molecule: long non-coding RNA, 250 nt
Filed under: Elaeis guineensis (African oil palm)
Lineage: Eukaryota; Viridiplantae; Streptophyta; Magnoliopsida; Arecales; Arecaceae
Description: long non-coding RNA (EGUI_LNC059464)
Source: RNAcentral
UUUAAUAUAAAUCUUGGGGGUUAAUUUGAUAUGCUAGCAUAUUGUGUUAACCUAAGUUCCUAAUUAGGUUAAGUUCAAAGUGUUUGAGCUAAACUGAAUCUGUUGCCUUUCACCUGAUCGGAUUGGAUCUAUUUUAAUUGGACUCCUAUCCAACUUGAAAGAGUUUUAAGUAUAAAAGGAGUCCUCCUUGUCACUCAAGUUUCAUGCCAAAAAUUAAUUGCCACCCACCCUUUUUAGUGUUAAGAAGAGG